RNAcentral lists this ribosomal RNA (578 nucleotides) under Rhodotorula glutinis. Its description in RNAcentral is "partial large subunit ribosomal RNA". It matches the Rfam family "Eukaryotic large subunit ribosomal RNA", at positions 67 to 657 of the family's 3401-position model. The record is from RNAcentral. Lineage: Eukaryota; Fungi; Basidiomycota; Microbotryomycetes; Sporidiobolales; Sporidiobolaceae.
AAUCGGGCAUUCCCUAGUAGCGGCGAGCGAAGCGGGAAGAGCUCAAAUUUAUAAUCUGGCACCUUCGGUGUCCGAGUUGUAAUCUCUAGAAGUGUUUUCCGCGUUGGACCGCACACAAGUCUGUUGGAAUACAGCGGCAUAGUGGUGAAACCCCCGUAUAUGGUGCGGACGCCCAGCGCUUUGUGAUACACUUUCAAUGAGUCGAGUUGUUUGGGAAUGCAGCUCAAAUUGGGUGGUAAAUUCCAUCUAAAGCUAAAUAUUGGCGAGAGACCGAUAGCGAACAAGUACCGUGAGGGAAAGAUGAAAAGCACUUUGGAAAGAGAGUUAACAGUACGUGAAAUUGUUGGAAGGGAAACGCUUGAAGUCAGACUUGCUUGCCGGAGCUUGCUUCGGUUUGCAGGCCAGCAUCAGUUUUCCGGGGUGGAUAAUGACGGUUUGAAGGUAGCAGUCUCGGCUGUGUUAUAGCUUUCCGUUGGAUACAUCCUGGGGGACUGAGGAACGCAGCGUGCUUUUUGCGAAAGACUCGUCUUUUUCACGCUUAGGAUGCUGGUGGAAUGGCUUUAAACGACCCGUCUUAA